This 474-nucleotide ribosomal RNA is filed under the name uncultured bacterium. RNAcentral's name for it is "bacterial SSU rRNA". It matches the Rfam family "Bacterial small subunit ribosomal RNA", at positions 329 to 797 of the family's 1533-position model. The record is from RNAcentral.
UGCCAGACUCCUACGGGAGGCAGCAGUGGGGAAUAUUGCGCAAUGGACGAAAGUCUGACGCAGCGACGCCGCGUGAGGGAUGAAGGUUUUCGGAUCGUAAACCUCUGUCAGGAGGGAAGAAAGCGCAUGGCGCCAAUCAGCCAUGCGUUGACGGUACCUCCAAAGGAAGCGCCGGCUAACUCCGUGCCAGCAGCCGCGGUAAUACGGAGGGCGCGAGCGUUAAUCGGAAUUACUGGGCGUAAAGCGCUCGUAGGCGGUAUGUCAAGUCAAGGGUGAAAUCCCCGCGCUCAACGUGGGAACUGCCUUUGAAACUGGCAAACUGGAGUGUGUGAGAGGAUAGUGGAAUUCCAGGUGUAGGAGUGAAAUCCGUAGAUAUCUGGAGGAACAUCAGUGGCGAAGGCGACUAUCUGGCACAUAACUGACGCUGAGGAGCGAAAGCGUGGGUAGCAAACAGGAUUAGAUACCCCAGUACCA